GAUCAUGGCUCAGGACGAACGCUGGCGGCGCGCCUAACACAUGCAAGUCGAACGAGCGAGAGAGAGCUUGCUUUCUCGAGCGAGUGGCGAACGGGUGAGUAACGCGUGAGGAACCUGCCUCAAAGAGGGGGACAACAGUUGGAAACGACUGCUAAUACCGCGUAAGACCACAGCCCCACAUGGGGCAGGGGUCAAAGGAGCAAUCCGGAUAAAGAUGGGCUCGCGUCCGAUUAG
Molecule: ribosomal RNA, 234 nt
Filed under: uncultured bacterium
Lineage: Bacteria
Description: partial 16S ribosomal RNA
Rfam family: Bacterial small subunit ribosomal RNA
Source: RNAcentral